Camelus dromedarius (Arabian camel) is the source of this 2643-nucleotide long non-coding RNA. RefSeq lists it as uncharacterized. The transcript has 5 exons. The record is from RefSeq and is a predicted model, not a curated record. NCBI's taxonomy places the organism in Eukaryota, Metazoa, Chordata, Mammalia, Artiodactyla, Camelidae.
GGUACGAAGGGUAUUACAGUGAAGAAUCUCUGUCCCUGCCACCCAUCCAGGGGGAAGGGCCCAGAGGCCUGGGGGUAGGGGAGGAGGGCUGGAGGUCAGUGAAGAAUUCCUAAGGGUCAGGCCUCUGUGGGGCCACACCCCUUUCCUUCCCUGGGCCCCUCCUCCCUCCUUCGGCGUCCCCUCCGAUAGACACCACCAACCUGCGUUUCGCCCGUCUGCCACUCCUUUCGCCAGUCCGCUGCUAUUUCAGGACAAGCUGAGCCAACCUCAAGUAAUAACUUCCGCCUUCUGCAAAACCCACCAAUCAGCACUUAUCCAUCAGCAUACCUUACGUGCAUAACUUCCUCCUCCCCAGACCUGAGUGAAAACUACAGACGGGAACGUCCUUCCCUGCCCCUCUAUCUUUCAGGCACGCCCCUUUCACGUUCAGUAAACCCACCAAUCAAAACUUACCUCUCAGUACCCCUCAUUUGCAUAAGAAUUCACCAAUAAGCUCCUACCCAAGGGGAUAAAUAACCAAGGCUGUACAGACUAGCGCCUGGAGGCAGUCACAGUAGGUUUCUCUAAAAGCGUGUAUGUGGAGCACAGGCUCCAAUAUAACUCGAGACCCCUCUGCACGCUUCCAAAAAUAAACCUGACUCUGCCUUUGAGCUCUUUCUCUCUUUCCUUUGUUUCUGUCCGACCCACUUCCGCACAGGGUUGUAGGCGGAGAAUCUGGAGAAAUCUCUUGGCCUUCGCUCCUCAGCUGUUAGUCUUUGUCAUACCUUGUUACCAAACUCUCUCUGCCUGCAGUCCUCCUGCCGGUCCUGAGCGGUCCGUCUGGAUUUAAGUCUUUGCUCUUCUCUCCAAUGCCACGUCCAUGUCCACAAACCCCUGAAAGAGUAGGGGCUUAGGUGUCCCUACUGGAAUGGCCCUGCUCCUGUGAGACUUGGAACCCUCAAAGAAGAGGCCUGACCUUUCUGAGGACUGACAGCUGAGAUACCAAGUAUUGGCGGUUCUCUCCCAUCCUAGAGCCGCCUAUCUGGGCACGUUGGAAGAUGGCGUUUUCCUUCUCCUUGAAGUUAGACACAGCUACAUGGCUGUUGAGCCAAUAAAACCGGAGCGUAAGUGAACUAUGACUCUUCCAAUGCCAGUGCUCUUCUCUCCAGACCUUCCUGCCCAGACUUCGACCAGUUCAGUCACAGGAGCUCAUGUCCACGUGGAGGUGAGGUAGGAGUGGGAGCAGCCUGGUAGGCUGAGCAAACACACAGUGGGACACUGCGUGGAGAGGUGCCUGGAGCCCAGCAGAUUUGUGCACUCACUUCUGUUCCUGCUGGUGGCAACGAAGAGAGAGACUCAUGCAGCUUUCCUUCAACUUCCUUGGCUGCUGAGCAGACAUGUGACAGUUCUGGCCAAUCAAAUGUACCCACGAGGAGUUUUCAGCUUGCAGUAUGGGAUCUGGAGAACCGAGGGCGCGUCCUUUGUGCCCAUGGCGGAAUCCUCAUCAGGCUAGUUCUUGGAAAAUCUUAAAAAGGAACAACACUGUGUUCAUCUGGGAUGCACUGAGGAGAGCUGGAGACGGAUGUGCUGGCCAGCAUCUAGAUUUGGCUUAGAGGGACAUCCUCAAGGACCCACAGGAGGAGAGAGAAGAAAGCUGACCCAAGGACAUGGGAUCACGGCCAUGAGAAGCAUGUGUGGGACUGCCUAGAAAGAAAACUACACACCAAUACUCCUUUUGAACACUGAUGGAAAACAUCUCCACCAAAAUACUAGCAAACUGAAUUUAGCAGCAUAUUAAAAGGAUUAUACACUAGGGCAAAGUGGGAUUGAUUCCCAGUGUGCAAAGUUGGUUCACAUACAAAAUCCAUCAAUGUAAUACACUACAUUAGCAGAAUGAAGGGAAAAACCCAUAUGAUGCAUAAAACGCAUUAUGACAAAAUUUAAUACCCUUUCAUGAUAAAGAAAAAUACUCAACAAACUAGGAAUAGAAGGAAACUACCUCAACAUAAUAGAAAACCACACAUGAAAAACCCACAGGGAACAUCACACUCAGUGGUGGAAGACUGAAACCUUCCACUAACGUCAAGAACAAGGCAGAGAUGUCCAUUUUCACAACUCCUGUUUGACAUUACUGGAAAUUUUAGCCAGAGCAGUUAGGCAAGAAACAGAAGUAAAAGCCACUUAAAUCACAGAGAGGAUGGAAAACUCUCUCUGUUAACAGAGGAUAGAGUCGGAUAAAGAAAAUCCUAAGGAAUACAAUCAAAUACUGUUAUGGCUAGUAAAUGAAGUCAGCAAGGUAGCAGAAUACAAAAUUAAAGACCGAAAUCAGUUGUAUUGCAGAGGGUGGGUAGAAUGCCCAGGGGCAGAAUGCAUGCUUAGCACACAGGAGGUCCUAGGUGCAAUCCCCACUUCCUCCAUUAGAAAAAAAAAAAGUCAGUUGCAUUUGUAUACACUAACAAUGAACAAUCCUAAAUGAAAACUACCCCCCAAAUCCAUUUACAAUAUAGCAUUAAAAUAAAAUACUUAGGAACAAACUUAACCAAGAAACUGAAAGACUUGUACAAUGCAAACUAUAAAACAUUGCUGGGAAUAAUUAAAGAAAACAUAAAUAGAAAUAUAUUCCAUGUUCAUGGAAUGAAAGACUUAAUAAAGAUAUAAUCUGUA